GGAUGAACGCUGGCGGCGUGCCUAAUACAUGCAAGUCGAGCGAACAGACGAGGAGCUUGCUCCUUUGACGUUAGCGGCGGACGGGUGAGUAACACGUAGGUAACCUACCUAUAAGACUGGGAUAACUUCGGGAAACCGGAGCUAAUACCGGAUAAUAUUUCGAACCGCAUGGUUCGAUAGUGAAAGAUGGCUUUGCUAUCACUUAUAGAUGGACCUGCGCCGUAUUAGCUAGUUGGUAAGGUAACGGCUUACCAAGGCAACGAUACGUAGCCGACCUGAGAGGGUGAUCGGCCACACUGGAACUGAGACACGGUCCAGACUCCUACGGGAGGCAGCAGUAGGGAAUCUUCCGCAAUGGGCGAAAGCCUGACGGAGCAACGCCGCGUGAGUGAUGAAGGUCUUCGGAUCGUAAAACUCUGUUAUUAGGGAAGAACAAACGUGUAAGUAACUGUGCACGUCUUGACGGUACCUAAUCAGAAAGCCACGGCUAACUACGUGCC
RNAcentral lists this ribosomal RNA (500 nucleotides) under Staphylococcus hominis. Its description in RNAcentral is "bacterial SSU rRNA". It matches the Rfam family "Bacterial small subunit ribosomal RNA", at positions 27 to 509 of the family's 1533-position model. The record is from RNAcentral. Lineage: Bacteria; Bacillati; Bacillota; Bacilli; Caryophanales; Staphylococcaceae.